This 1486-nucleotide long non-coding RNA is filed under the name Malus domestica (apple). Its description in RNAcentral is "long non-coding RNA (MDOM_LNC011408)". The record is from RNAcentral. Lineage: Eukaryota; Viridiplantae; Streptophyta; Magnoliopsida; Rosales; Rosaceae.
UUUAUGCGACAAGGGUUAGUAUUUAUAGGUUGGAAUACAUGUCAAAAUCCCUAAGGAUUUGGAUAGGUUCUGAAAUUAAAAUGGGAUAAGGAUUGUGAAACCAAAACCCAAGUGGAAUGGGUUAAAACAAUCAAAAACCAAAGGGGAUUAGGUUAGAAAGGUGCGGCACUAAUUCCUGCAAGGAAAGGGAUACAUUUGGCCUAAAUCAAGAGGGAAAAUGAUUGAGAUUUCAGGUUCUAGAGCUUCUAGAAAAGGGGAAAAUGGCCAGAUUUUUAGGUGCUUCUAGAAAAGAUGUUUUAGCAUCAAUUUAGGGCUUCUAGAAGGAUAAGGUUCUAGAAUCUGAAAUAUAUAGUUUAAAUACAUAAUUAUCCCUUAGAAAUAGUUGGAAUCAAGGCACAAAUUGAUUUGGAUAAGAUAGGAUAAGAUAAGGUGAGGUUAGGCAAGGAUAAGAUAAGAUAAGGUUGGAUAAGGUUUUGGAUAAUGUUCCUUCUUUUGUGUUGAUUUCUUAUCUUCCUUGACUUGGAUUUAUUUCUUCACUCUUUUCAACUCAUUCCUAGCCUCUUGAACUUCAAAUUUGUCCAUCCAUCUUGCUCCAUUCAUAAGCUAUCCAUUUGGUGCCCAAAACUGCCUCAAAAUGCUCCAAAUUGCACUUUCUUUCUAACUUUGUCAUAUGGACCUACAAACACACGAAAAUAUCUUAAAACACAAUAAUAAACACAAACAAACUAUGAAAAUGCAAGAAAACAAGCUAACUAAGUCGCAUAAAUAUGCUCCUAUCAAAUUCCCCCACACUUAGCUUUUGCUAGUCCUCGAGCAAAACAAAGGAAACAAAACAAACAAAACAUAACCUAAACCUUCCAACAUUUGUCUCAGGGAUUUCCAAUGAAACAUGACACAUUAAAAAUCACUACUUACAUAGAUUUUAGUUAUCCUUACCCUCGAGCACAUACUUAAUCAUAAUCACCAUUCACUAGCUCGCAUUUAAUCAAUUUAAAACAUCAUUUUGAAUGUAGUAACAUGCCUUAGAGAAGUCCCUCAAGUCCUUACUAGAUAUGCACUCAAUUUUCACUCAGAUUUUCUGACUACACACCCUAUACUAGGUAUAUGUGAGAAGAUUGAUGUAAACAUGUAGACUAGCCACUCACAUAUGUUAUAUCAAAGAAAGCAAUUUCUGGAAUUAUUAAUGCAUGUAUAUAUAUAUGAUCUCAUGAAUGGGACGCAAGAACCAGGGAUACCAUAUGCUCAUACCAAUCCCAAACUCCACAGAUUGAAACACACAACAACCAAGAUUAAAGUCUAAGGGUUGUAAUGGGGCUAAGGGUAUUGGCUAACAAAGAAAGGUUAAGGAUAAACAAACGUUCUUAAAGCAAUAGUAAGCAAAGCAAUGAAAUCAACUUAGAAUUCACUUUAGAAUGCAGAAAUCAACUUUAAAACACAAGGAAAGAUUCAUGCAUAUUUAGGGCCAAAUUCAACUUUUUGGACCCUU